Molecule: ribosomal RNA, 359 nt
Filed under: uncultured bacterium
Lineage: Bacteria
Description: bacterial SSU rRNA
Rfam family: Bacterial small subunit ribosomal RNA
Source: RNAcentral
UCCAUCCAGUGGCAACACUGGUGAAGAUCUAGCGGCGAACGGGUGAGUAACACGUGAGAAACCUGCCCCGGAGACCGGGAUAACUCGAGGAAACUCGAGCUAAUACCGGAUACCCCCACCGAACCGCAUGAUUUGGUGAGGAAAUGCUCCGACGCUCCGGGAGGGUCUCGCGGCCUAUCAGCUGGUUGGUGAGGUAACGGCUCACCAAGGCUAAGACGGGUAGCUGGUCUGAGAGGACGAUCAGCCACACUGGGACUGAGACACGGCCCAGACUCCUACGGGAGGCAGCAGUGGGGAAUCUUGCGCAAUGGGCGAAAGCCUGACGCAGCAACGCCGCGUGGGGGAUGAAGGCUCUCGGG